This 496-nucleotide ribosomal RNA is filed under the name uncultured bacterium. RNAcentral describes it as "partial 16S ribosomal RNA". It matches the Rfam family "Bacterial small subunit ribosomal RNA", at positions 29 to 523 of the family's 1533-position model. The record is from RNAcentral.
AUUGAACGCUGGCGGCGUGCCUAACACAUGCAAGUCGCACGCGAAAGGGGGCAACCCCAAGUAGAGUGGCGGACGGGUGAGUAACGCGUAGGAAUCUACCUAGUAGUGGGGGACAACCCGGCGAAAGCCGGGCUAACACCGCAUACGACCUAAGGGUGAAAGCAGGGGAUCGCAAGACCUUGCGCUAUUAGAUGAGCCUGUGUCCGAUUAGCUAGUUGGUGAGGUAACGGCUCACCAAGGCGACGAUCAGUAACUGGUUUGAGAGAACGCCCAGUCACAGUGGGACUGAGACACGGACCAAACUCCUACGGGAGGCAGCAGUGGGGAAUAUUGGACAAUGGGGGCAACCCUGAUCCAGCGACGCCGCGUGUGUGAAGAAGGCCUUCGGGUUGUAAAGCACUUUCGGCAGGGACAAACAAGACGGAGCUAACAUCUCCGUUCCUGAUGGUACCUGAAGAAGAAGCACCGGCUGACUCUGUGCCAGCCGCCGCAGUAA